CUUGCCCCGAGAUGAGUUCUCCCUGAGACUUAGAGUCUCCUGAAGGAACGUUGAAGACGACGACGUUGAUAGGCCGGGUGUGUAAGCGCAGCGAUGCGUUGAGCUAACCGGUACUAAUGAACCGUGAGGCUUAACCUUACAACGCCGAAGCUGUU
Molecule: ribosomal RNA, 155 nt
Filed under: Escherichia coli
Lineage: Bacteria; Pseudomonadati; Pseudomonadota; Gammaproteobacteria; Enterobacterales; Enterobacteriaceae
Description: partial 23S ribosomal RNA
Rfam family: Bacterial large subunit ribosomal RNA (bases 1-138)
Source: RNAcentral